Arachis stenosperma is the source of this 161-nucleotide small nuclear RNA. RefSeq annotates it as U1 spliceosomal RNA. The record is from RefSeq and is a predicted model, not a curated record. NCBI's taxonomy places the organism in Eukaryota, Viridiplantae, Streptophyta, Magnoliopsida, Fabales, Fabaceae. The transcript has a single exon.
AUACUUACCUGGACGGGGUCGAUGGAUGAUCAUAAAGGCCCAUAGCCUAGGAUAGCAACCUCCAUUGCACUUUGGAGAAGUGCUGUCCUAAGAUCUACCUAAGUGGUGGAGCCUACAUCAUAAUUUGUGACAGCAGAGGCCUGCGUUCGCGCAACUUCUAC